GACGAACGCUGGCGGCGUGCCUAAUACAUGCAAGUCGAGCGGGGAUUAUGCUUGAUCGCUUCGGUGAGACGGCAUAUAUCCUAGCGGCGGACGGGUGAGUAACGCGUGGGUAAUCUACCUCGUAGUUCGGGAUAACAGGCCGAAAGGCUUGCUAAUACCGGAUGAGUUCAUGCUUAUGCAUAUAGGCAUGAAGAAAGGGCUAGCCCGCUAUGAGAUGAGCCCGCGUCCCAUUAGCUUGUUGGUGGGGUAAUGGCCUACCAAGGCAACGAUGGGUAGCCGGCCUGAGAGGGUGUACGGCCACACUGGGACUGAGACACGGCCCAGACUCCUACGGGGGGCAGCAGUAGGGAAUUUUCGGCAAUGGGCGAAAGACCUGACCGAGCGACGCCGCGUGAGGGACGAAGGCCUCGGUUGUAACGUACUGUCUGGGGAGGUGAGAGGAACGGUACCCCGGAACCGGAACGGACCCGGCCGUAACUACGUACGCCAGCAGCCGCGGUAAGUGAGUAGUAACA
Molecule: ribosomal RNA, 515 nt
Filed under: uncultured bacterium
Lineage: Bacteria
Description: bacterial SSU rRNA
Rfam family: Bacterial small subunit ribosomal RNA
Source: RNAcentral